This is a long non-coding RNA of Dreissena polymorpha, 322 nucleotides long. RefSeq lists it as uncharacterized. The record is from RefSeq and is a predicted model, not a curated record. NCBI's taxonomy places the organism in Eukaryota, Metazoa, Mollusca, Bivalvia, Myida, Dreissenidae. The transcript has 3 exons.
GGAACAUUCUCUUAUCAUGUGUCGUGAUAAAAAUCAAAUUAAAUUAAAAUAACGAGAUAAUAUAAAGAUUAUGAUGAUACAGUGCGAUGCAAACAAAUCUACUGCCCCUGACUAUUCCAGACUGCCGACCAGUUAUAACGAGUUCUAUCAACUUCUGUGGAGUCAGCAAGGCUCUGGAGACAAAAUACACUGUCUUACGACAGAAGCUAUUGGUUGAUUGCUUGCGAAUUAGGAUGGGAACUGACCAAUUGGAGGCCAUGUAUCAAAACGACAAGCAGCAAAAAGUGAUGAUCCUGGAUAAUCAAGCUGUGGAACAAAUCCA